CGCAUCUGUGCAUGCAGCAUAUCAAUAAGCGGAGGAAAAGAAACUAACAAGGAUUCCCCUAGUAACGGCGAGUGAAGCGGGAAGAGCUCAAAUUUGAAAUCUUAAAGGGUUUCCCUUUACGAAUUGUAGUUUAAAGAAGUGUUUUCUGUUGAGGUUUUGGUAAAAGUUCUUUGGAAUAGGACAUCAUAGAGGGUGAGAAUCCCGUAUUUGACCUUUACUUUCAACUUUGUGAUACACUUUCAAAGAGUCGGAUUGUUUGGGAAUGCAGUCCAAAAUGGGUGGUAAAUUUCAUCUAAAGCUAAAUAUUGGCGAGAGACCGAUAGCGAACAAGUACCGUGAGGGAAAGAUGAAAAGAACUUUGAAAAGAGAGUUAAACAGUACGUGAAAUUGUCAAAAGGGAAGCGUUUGACACCAGUGUUGUUUUUCUGAAAAUCAAUUAAAGAACUGUUUAUGCUAAGCUUGUUUAGACUUUAUCAGCUAACUGUUUAGUUUUGAGCUUUUCUUUAAUGCACUUUUCAGUUAACAAGUCAACAUCAAUUUCUUUUGCUGUAAAAAAGCUUGAGGAAGGUGGCUUGAGAUUCGUCUUAAGUGUUUAUAGCCUCUUGCCUAUGCAGUCGGAGAGAUUGAGGUCUGCAGCGUAGAUCCUUCGGGGCUAAAUGCAUUUGUGCUAAGUUAUAGCAUUUUAUAGACAACUUGUUGACUAUGAUUUGUCUUGUAGCUUACUCGCUUAUGUUAUUUUACCUACGCUUAGGAUGUUGAACGCGCACAGAGUCUC
This 775-nucleotide ribosomal RNA is filed under the name uncultured Neocallimastigales. RNAcentral's name for it is "partial large subunit ribosomal RNA". It matches the Rfam family "Eukaryotic large subunit ribosomal RNA", at positions 26 to 641 of the family's 3401-position model. The record is from RNAcentral. Lineage: Eukaryota; Fungi; Neocallimastigomycota; Neocallimastigomycetes; Neocallimastigales.